Molecule: non-coding RNA, 7064 nt
Organism: Macaca mulatta (Rhesus monkey)
Lineage: Eukaryota; Metazoa; Chordata; Mammalia; Primates; Cercopithecidae
Source: RefSeq, a predicted model, not a curated record
CUGCAUGAACUUCCGGCUACACGCCAUUCCGCUUCCCGGGGAACGCUUGGGCUGUAGUACGGGUUCCCUAUGGGACUCUGAAGCCUGAGGAUAUCCGGCGCGCAACGUUUGUUCAGCGCGGAGUUAAGCGCCCCGGCCGUAACUUAGGGGAAGUGGACCAGGCUUGCCGCUGCCCACGGCGGUCCUUUCGUUUCCACCGGAGUGGAGGGGAGCGUGCUACCAUGGCAGCCCCUGCACAGCCCAAGAAGAUCGUGGCCCCUACGGUGUCCCAGAUUAACGCGGAGUUCGUGACCCAGUUAGCGUGUAAAUACUGGGCUCCCCACAUCAAGAAGAAAUCACCUUUUGAUAUAAAGGUUAUUGAAGAUAUAUAUGAAAAAGAGAUUGUCAAAUCAAGGUUUGCUAUUAGAAAGAUAAUGCUCUUGGAAUUUAGCCAGUAUCUUGAAAAUUAUCUCUGGAUGAAUUAUUCUCCUGAGGUAUCCAGCAAGGCCUAUUUAAUGUCAAUUUGCUGUAUGGUGAAUGAGAAGUUCAGAGAAAACGUGCCUGCAUGGGAGAUUUUUAAGAAGAAGCCAGACCACUUCCCAUUCUUUUUUAAACACAUCUUGAAGGCGGCCUUAGCUGAAACUGAUGGUGAAUUUUCACUUCAUGAACAGACAGUCUUACUACUUUUUCUUGAUCAUUGCUUCAAUAGUUUGGAGGUAGACUUGAUACGGAGUCAAGUACAGCAGCUUAUCUCCCUCCCAAUGUGGAUGGGCUUACAGCUGGCACGAUUGGAAUUAGAAUUAAAAAAGACACCUAAGCUAAGAAAAUUCUGGAACUUGAUUAAAAAGAAUGAUGAAAAGAUGGAUCCAGAAGCAAGAGAACAGGCAUAUCAAGAGAGGAGAUUUCUUUCACAACUCAUCCAGAAGUUUAUCUCUGUACUGAAGUCAGUCCCACUUUCCGAACCUGUCACUAUGGACAAAGUUCAUUACUGUGAAAGAUUCAUUGAACUUAUGAUUGAUCUAGAGGCCCUAUUACCCACAAGGCGCUGGUUUAAUACCAUCCUGGAUGACUCCCACCUUCUGGUUCACUGUUACCUUUCCAAUCUUGUUCGUAGAGAAGAGGAUGGCCAUCUUUUUUCCCAGCUUUUGGACAUGCUUAAAUUCUAUACUGGUUUCGAAAUUAAUGACCAAACUGGAAAUGCUCUGACAGAGAAUGAGAUGACCACAAUUCACUAUGAUAGAAUUACAUCUCUACAGAGAGCUGCUUUUGCACAUUUUCCUGAACUCUAUGAUUUUGCCCUCUCAAACGUGGCAGAAGUAGAUACUCGGGAGUCCUUGGUCAAGUUUUUUGGACCUCUUAGUUCAAACACCCUCCACCAGGUGGCAUCAUACCUCUGCUUGUUGCCAACUCUUCCUAAAAAUGAAGACACAACUUUUGAUAAAGAAUUUCUCCUAGAAUUGCUGGUAUCUCGUCAUGAACGUCGAAUUUCUCAGAUUCAGCAAUUGAACCAGAUGCCUUUGUAUCCAACCGAGAAAAUUAUAUGGGAUGAAAAUAUUGUCCCAACUGAGUACUAUUCUGGAGAAGGUUGUCUUGCUCUUCCCAAAUUGAAUUUGCAGUUUUUGACUCUUCAUGACUACCUACUAAGGAACUUUAACCUCUUCCGCUUAGAAUCAACUUAUGAAAUUCGGCAGGACAUUGAAGAUAGUGUCAGCAGAAUGAAGCCAUGGCAAUCUGAAUAUGGCGGUGUAGUGUUUGGUGGUUGGGCGCGAAUGGCUCAGCCCAUUGUGGCUUUCACUGUUGUUGAAGUGGCCAAACCCAACAUAGGUGAAAACUGGCCAACCCGAGUUCGUGCAGAUGUUACCAUAAAUCUGAAUGUCAGAGAUCACAUCAAAGAUGAAUGGGAAGGUCUUCGUAAGCAUGAUGUAUGCUUUUUAAUUACUGUACGUCCCACAAAACCUUACGGCACUAAGUUUGACCGGAGGAGACCUUUUAUUGAGCAGGUUGGCCUGGUUUAUGUCAGAGGCUGUGAAAUUCAGGGCAUGCUGGAUGACAAAGGACGUGUCAUUGAAGAUGGACCUGAACCCAGACCCAAUCUUAGAGGAGAAUCAAGGACAUUUAGAGUGUUUUUGGAUCCAAACCAGUAUCAACAAGAUAUGACCAAUACUAUACAGAAUGGAGCAGAGGAUGUGUAUGAAACUUUUAAUAUAAUAAUGAGGAGAAAACCAAAGGAAAAUAACUUUAAGGCUGUGCUGGAGACUAUUCGGAACCUGAUGAAUACUGAUUGUGUGGUACCUGACUGGCUGCAUGAUAUCAUUUUAGGUUAUGGGGACCCAAGUAGCGCACAUUAUUCAAAAAUGCCCAAUCAGAUUGCCACUCUUGAUUUCAAUGAUACAUUUCUCUCCAUUGAGCAUUUAAAAGCCAGCUUCCCUGGUCAUAAUGUUAAAGUAACUGUAGAAGACCCUGCUCUACAAAUACCCCCUUUCAGGAUAACUUUUCCAGUAAGAAGUGGAAAAGGGAAGAAAAGGAAAGAUGCGGAUGUGGAAGAUGAAGACACCGAGGAGGCAAAAACCUUAAUUGUUGAGCCCCAUGUUAUUCCUAAUAGGGGUCCUUAUCCUUAUAAUCAACCCAAACGUAAUACGAUUCAGUUCACUCAUACACAGAUAGAAGCCAUCCGUGCUGGAAUGCAGCCUGGGCUGACUAUGGUUGUGGGCCCACCUGGUACAGGCAAAACAGAUGUGGCAGUUCAGAUCAUAUCUAACAUCUACCACAAUUUCCCAGAACAGAGGACUCUAAUUGUUACUCAUUCCAAUCAGGCUCUUAACCAGUUGUUUGAGAAAAUCAUGGCAUUAGACAUCGAUGAGCGUCACCUACUGCGUCUUGGUCAUGGAGAAGAAGAGCUGGAGACAGAGAAAGAUUUCAGCAGGUAUGGAAGAGUUAAUUAUGUUCUGGCUCGAAGAAUAGAACUUUUAGAAGAAGUCAAACGAUUGCAAAAGAGUCUAGGGGUUCCAGGAGAUGCCUCAUAUACCUGUGAAACUGCAGGCUAUUUCUUCUUAUACCAGGUAAUGUCUCGUUGGGAAGAGUAUAUCAGCAAAGUGAAAAAUAAAGGUAGUACAUUGCCAGAUGUUACAGAAGUCUCCACUUUCUUCCCUUUCCAUGAAUACUUUGCAAAUGCUCCUCAACCUAUUUUUAAAGGAAGAUCUUACGAAGAAGACAUGGAAAUUGCCGAAGGAUGUUUCAGGCAUAUUAAGAAAAUCUUUACUCAGCUUGAGGAAUUCAGAGCCUCUGAAUUGCUUCGAAGUGGACUGGACAGAUCUAAAUACCUUCUAGUGAAAGAAGCCAAAAUUAUUGCUAUGACCUGUACUCAUGCUGCCUUAAAACGACAUGACUUGGUCAAGUUAGGUUUCAAGUAUGACAACAUUUUGAUGGAAGAGGCUGCUCAGAUUCUGGAGAUAGAGACUUUUAUCCCUCUUCUUCUACAGAAUCCUCAGGAUGGAUUUAGCCGACUAAAACGAUGGAUUAUGAUUGGCGAUCAUCACCAGUUACCUCCAGUUAUUAAGAACAUGGCCUUUCAAAAGUACUCAAACAUGGAGCAGUCUCUCUUCACUCGCUUUGUUCGCGUUGGAGUUCCAACUGUGGACCUUGAUGCUCAAGGGAGAGCCAGAGCAAGCUUGUGCAACCUCUACAACUGGCGAUACAAGAAUCUAGGAAACUUACCCCAUGUGCAGCUUUUGCCAGAGUUUAGUACAGCAAAUGCUGGCUUACUGUAUGACUUCCAGCUCAUUAAUGUUGAAGAUUUUCAAGGAGUGGGAGAAUCUGAACCUAAUCCUUACUUCUAUCAGAAUCUUGGAGAGGCAGAAUACGUAGUAGCACUUUUUAUGUACAUGUGUUUACUUGGUUAUCCUGCUGACAAAAUCAGUAUUCUAACAACGUAUAAUGGCCAAAAGCAUCUUAUUCGCGACAUCAUCAAUAGACGAUGUGGAAACAAUCCAUUGAUUGGAAGACCAAACAAGGUGACAACUGUUGAUAGAUUUCAAGGUCAACAGAAUGAUUAUAUUCUUCUUUCUCUGGUACGAACCAGGGCAGUGGGCCAUCUGAGGGAUGUCCGUCGCUUGGUAGUGGCCAUGUCUAGAGCCAGACUUGGACUUUAUAUCUUCGCCAGAGUAUCCCUCUUUCAAAACUGUUUUGAACUGACUCCAGCUUUCAGUCAGCUCACAGCUCGACCCCUUCAUUUGCAUAUAAUUCCAACAGAACCUUUCCCAACCACUCGAAAGAAUGGAGAGAGACCAUCUCAUGAAGUACAAAUAAUAAAAAAUAUGCCCCAGAUGGCAAACUUUGUAUACAACAUGUACAUGCAUUUGAUACAGACUACACAUCAUUAUCAUCAGACUUUAUUACAACUACCACCUGCUAUGGUAGAAGAAGGUGAGGAAGUUCAAAAUCAAGAAACAGAAUUGGAAACAGAAGAAGAGGCUAUGACUGUUCAAGUUGACAUCAUACCCAGUCCAACAGACACCAGCUGCAGUCAAGAAACUCCAGCCUUUCAAACUGACACCACUCCUAGUCAGACUGAGACCACCGCCAGUGAGACAGGAGCCAGUUCCAAUCCAGAAGCCAUCCCUGCUUUAUCUGAGACCACCACUACUGUGGCAGGAGCUGUAUCUGCACCUGCAGAGGCUUACACACCUCAGGAUGCCACAUCUGCCCCAGAAGGGACCAAGUAGCCAAACUGUAGUCCUAAAGGAGGACAUGUCAUUCAAAAAGUCUGAGUAAAGUUAUUUUCUGUAUUUUAUAUUUGCUUCUGCCAUUUUACUGUCACUAAUUAAUGUUCGGUUCUUAUAUAAACUGGUUUUGGUGUCUUGAAUAUAUUUUUUUAAAUUAUGUGUAUGAACAAUUCUAGUUUCAUUUGUUCAAUCAGAAGAGUAAAUAACCAUUCCUCAUGUUUUGAUCACUGAGUGUAUCUGUAAUCAUACCUACAUUAAAAUCAUUUUCUGUAGAAUAUAUAAUAUAUACUGCACAUUUUUAGUGAACUUCUCUAAAGAAGAGGACAGAAUACACCAGACUUAACCAUGAAUACGCUUAAGUGUCCAAAUUGGGAAGGAACUUGUUUCUUCUGUUAUACUAUCAAAUGCUUAAAUGCUGUUUCCUUUUUUCUUACUGUUCUUUACAUAAAGUAAUAUCUUUAUGUAAAGAUACUACUGGCAGUAAGAUACAGGUUUACUCUGAUCUAUCAGAGUGGUCACAUGCAUUUCCUUCUCUCAAAUCUUAGAAUCACCUAAGAUGUCUGUUUAUUCUUGAGGCACACCUCAGACUGAAUGAGUCAGAAUCUCAGGAUUAGAGCCCAGGAAUCUAUAUUUUAGGAGGUUCUCCACACCACUAAUGUUUGGGUUGCUGGCAGAGUGGCAUCAGCCAAGGCUGGUGAGGCUGAGCCAGGAUUUGUCAUCAGCUAAAUAGGAAGACUCUGCCAAAUCAAUCUGGGCAAGAAGCAGGAUCCUGAGUCUGGGCAAUGAGAGUCAGAGAACUUAACUCCUGUGUGCAGGGUAGAAUUUUCCUAUGGCAGAAAUUCUGUUUUCUGCCUUAUUUUUCUUGGGAUAAUCAGCCACAAGGAGACCUUCAGGUUAAAUGUGGUUCAAAUAUGGGAAAGCAGAGGUACUUAGGACCUUGCUACUCAAGUAUGAUUUGUGAACCAACAGCAUCAACAUCGUAUUGAAGUUUGGUAUUUAUAGAAAUGCAGAAGUUUGCUGCCCAAACCUAUUAAAUCUAAAUCUACAUUGCAACAAAGUCCCCAGGUGAUUCACAGGCACUUUGUAGUUUGAGAAGCGUGUACUAAGAUUACUGUGUUGUCUUCACAUGAAUGAGGCUAUAAUGGUAGAAUUACCAGUGAAUGUGACUAAUGUUUUCUGACAAAGGACCUCUGCUUAUAAGGUCCCUGGGCAUGGUGCCCAGAACUGGGGAAAAAAAAAAAAAAGAAAUGUUUAUGUGUAUGUGUAGAGGGGAAAAUUGCCCACUAGUUCUCUGUUUCCCAGUUUGAUCAUCUGCUAGAGUAUCUAAAGGGGAGCAUUUCCCCCAAAGUGUCUCCUCUAGUGCAUCUACCUAUGGGCCUGGCCAUGUCCAAGGAAUCUUUGAAGAAACAAGCAAGAACUGCACACUUAUCAUUGAAAUCCUUCUGGUCCUGACAUUUUGAAGGAAUGAUUGCUUCAUAAGGAAGUAAAACCCAGAAAGUCAAGUCAGUUAUAUUUUUGAGUAACUAGUGUUUGCUCAGCUCUACCAGGCUGUGUUGAGUAUGGUCCAGACUCUCAUUUUAUGAUGUGUCCUACUGCAUCAGGACACUUGUGUCAGUGUCAGGUGAGGAGGGGAGAUGAGAGUGAUGAGGCGAUGAGAGGAGUGAAAUACCAAGGACACGAUACUAGGAAACCCAGGUCUAUUUGUUAUCAGAGUAAGGAUCAAGCCAGAUAGCCUGUUAUGUAAUUGCACUUUUAAAAGAUUUUGAAAGCAGGUGCUGUGGGCAUCUGUAUGCACUCAUAGAAUUAUUUUCAUUUGUAACUGUAUGGUAUCAGGCCAAGCAAGGGAAAGAAGCUUUACUGUAUUACCAUCUUUCCUGGAAAAGACUGAUUUUUCUCUCUCCCUUAGGGGAUAUGAGGUAUGAUACCUGCAACCAAAAUAAGUGGACUGUUAAGCUGCUCUCUCAGCUAUUUUCCAAGCAAUGUACAUCACUCUUGCCUAGAUGAGUGACCAUACUUUUUUCCUUGCUGCUUGGUUUUUCUGUCACUAAAAAGCAAAUUUAGGUGGAAGAUGGAUGGGUAACCAGAGGGUGAAGUAACACAGCCGAAGAGGAAACCAGAAGUGAAGUGAUUUGUACAAAAUGUCGUAGUGUAAUUUAUUGAGUGUCAUGUGGUAUUAAUAGCAACAUCCUGAAAAUGCAAAUGAAUAAAAGUUUGGUCAAUGUACCAUGACAUUCCUUCGUGUGAGCCACCUAAGAAAAGGUCACUGAGCAUUCUCUGUUUACAUUUUAAUUUUAGACUCCAGAAUUUCACACACAGUUUUUCUUCUCAUUUCUUAUGCAGUAAAAGAAGAGUUCAUAUUUCCAA